RNAcentral lists this ribosomal RNA (550 nucleotides) under uncultured bacterium. RNAcentral describes it as "bacterial SSU rRNA". It matches the Rfam family "Bacterial small subunit ribosomal RNA", at positions 355 to 896 of the family's 1533-position model. The record is from RNAcentral.
UAGGGGAUCUUCGGCAAUGGGGGCAACCCUGACCGAGCAACGCCGCGUGAGUGAAGAAGGUUUUCGGAUCGUAAAGCUCUGUUGUAAGAGAAGAACGAGUGUGAGAGUGGAAAGUUCACACUGUGACGGUAACUUACCAGAAAGGGACGGCUAACUACGUGCCAGCAGCCGCGGUAAUACGUAGGUCCCGAGCGUUAUCCGGAUUUAUUGGGCGUAAAGCGAGCGCAGGCGGUUAGAUAAGUCUGAAGUUAAAGGCUGUGGCUUAACCACAGUACGCUUUGGAAACUGUUUAACUUGAGUGCAGAAGGGGAGAGUGGAAUUCCAUGUGUAGCGGUGAAAUGCGUAGAUAUAUGGAGGAACACCGGUGGCGAAAGCGGCUCUCUGGUCUGUAACUGACGCUGAGGCUCGAAAGCGUGGGGAGCAAACAGGAUUAGAUACCCUGGUAGUCCACGCCGUAAACGAUGAGUGCUAGGUGUUGGGUCCUUUCCGGGACUCAGUGCCGCAGCUAACGCAUUAAGCACUCCGCCUGGGGAGUACGACCGCAAGGUUG